This 72-nucleotide transfer RNA is filed under the name Apaloderma vittatum (bar-tailed trogon). It matches the Rfam family "tRNA". Rfam says of the family: Transfer RNA (tRNA) molecules are approximately 80 nucleotides in length. Lineage: Eukaryota; Metazoa; Chordata; Aves; Trogoniformes; Trogonidae. The record is from Rfam by way of RNAcentral.
GGCCGGUUAGCUCAGUCAGUAGAGCAUAGCGCUAACAACGCUAAGGUCGUGGGUUCGAUUCCCGUUCGGUCC